RNAcentral lists this small nucleolar RNA (134 nucleotides) under Carlito syrichta (Philippine tarsier). Its description in RNAcentral is "Small nucleolar RNA SNORA48 (ENSTSYG00000022215.2)". It matches the Rfam family "Small nucleolar RNA SNORA48". From Rfam's summary of the family: The snoRNA ACA 48 has been identified to guide pseudouridylation of the residue U3797 in the 28S rRNA subunit. Its host gene EIF4A1 (eukaryotic translation initiation factor 4A1) is shared with U67 and snoRNA mgU6-77 The record is from Rfam by way of RNAcentral. Lineage: Eukaryota; Metazoa; Chordata; Mammalia; Primates; Tarsiidae.
UGUCCCUGACCUGGGUAGAGUGGUAUCUGGUUGGUGGUGCCAUCUCAUAUCAACCAGGGACAAAGUAACCCCUUGUUCACCCUGGCUUGGCCUCUGGUCUGUGCUCAGGCCUGGUGCAUGCCUUGGACACAAGG